GACGAACGCUGGCGGCGUGCUUAACACAUGCAAGUCGAACGGAAAGGCCCUUCUUUUGUGGGGUGCUCGAGUGGCGAACGGGUGAUUAACACGUGAGUAACCUGCCCUUGACUUUGGGAUAACUUCAGGAAACUUGGGCUAAUACCGGAUAGGAGCUCCUGCUGCAUGGUGGGGGUUGGAAAGUUUCGGCGGUUGGGGAUGGACUCGCGGCUUAUCAGCUUGUUGGUGGGGUAGUGGCUUACCAAGGCUUUGACGGGUAGCCGGCCUGAGAGGGUGACCGGCCACAUUGGGACUGAGAUACGGCCCAGACUCCUACGGGAGGCAGCAGUGGGGAAUAUUGCACAAUGGGCGGAAGCCUGAUGCAGCAACGCCGCGUGCGGGAUGACGGCCUUCGGGUUGUAAACCGCUUUCGCCUGUGACGAAGCGUGAGUGACGGUAAUGGGUAAAGAAGCACCGGCUAACUACGUG
RNAcentral lists this ribosomal RNA (468 nucleotides) under uncultured bacterium. Its description in RNAcentral is "partial 16S ribosomal RNA". It matches the Rfam family "Bacterial small subunit ribosomal RNA", at positions 28 to 507 of the family's 1533-position model. The record is from RNAcentral.